This 253-nucleotide ribosomal RNA is filed under the name uncultured bacterium. Its description in RNAcentral is "partial 16S ribosomal RNA". It matches the Rfam family "Bacterial small subunit ribosomal RNA", at positions 524 to 776 of the family's 1533-position model. The record is from RNAcentral.
UACAGAGGUCUCAAGCGUUGUUCGGAUUCAUUGGGCGUAAAGGGUGCGUAGGCGGCCCGGUAAGUCCGUUGUAAAAGUCGAAGGCUCAACCUUCGAAAGCCGAUGGAUACUGCCGGGCUAGAGUUCGGAAGAGGCGAGUGGAAUUCCUGGUGUAGCGGUGGAAUGCGCAGAUAUCAGGAGGAACACCAGUGGCGAAGGCGGUUGCCUGGAGCUUUGCUGACGCUGAUGCGCGAAAGCGUGGGGAGCGAUCCGG